RNAcentral lists this ribosomal RNA (403 nucleotides) under Fusobacteriota bacterium. RNAcentral's name for it is "Fusobacteria bacterium partial 16S ribosomal RNA". It matches the Rfam family "Bacterial small subunit ribosomal RNA", at positions 355 to 776 of the family's 1533-position model. The record is from RNAcentral. Lineage: Bacteria; Fusobacteriati; Fusobacteriota.
UGGGGAAUAUUGCACAAUGGGGGAAACCCUGAUGCAGCGACGCCGCGUGAGCGAAGAAGGUUUACGAAUCGUAAAGCUCUGUCCUAUGGGAAGAUAAUGACGGUACCAUAGGAGGAAGCCCCGGCUAACUACGUGCCAGCAGCCGCGGUAAUACGUAGGGGGCAAGCGUUGUCCGGAAUCACUGGGCGUAAAGGGUUCGCAGGCGGAAAUGCAAGUCAGUUGUGAAAGGCAGAGGCUCAACCUCUGUAAGCAAUUGAAACUGUAUUUCUUGAGAUGUGGAGAGGCAAGUGGAAUUCCUAGUGUAGCGGUGAAAUGCGUAGAUAUUAGGAAGAAUACCGGUGGCGAAGGCGACUUGCUGGACACAAACUGACGCUGAGGAACGAAAGCGUGGGUAGCAAACAGG